Molecule: ribosomal RNA, 208 nt
Filed under: uncultured bacterium
Lineage: Bacteria
Description: partial 16S ribosomal RNA
Rfam family: Bacterial small subunit ribosomal RNA
Source: RNAcentral
UAUGUAGGCGGUUUCCUAAGUGUAAAGUAUAAAUGCCAAGGGCAGUCUUGGAGUAAUUUUCAAACUGGGAAACUUGAGUGCGUUAGAGGAUACAGGGAAUUACGGUGGAGGGGUAAAAUCCAUUGAUAUCAGUAAAUAUUACUAACUGGCGAAGGCGUGUGUCUGGGACGUUACUGACGCUGAGGUACGAAAGCAUGGGUAUCGAUCA